CCUACGGGCGGCAGCAGUGAGGAAUAUUGGGCAAUGGACGAGAGCCUGAACCAGCGAAGUAGCGUGAAGGAUGACUGCCCUAGGGGUUGUAAACUUCUUUUAUAAAGGAAUAAAACGAGGCUCGUGUGCCUUUGUGCAUUUACUUUAUGAAUAAGGAUCGGCUAACUCCGUGCCAGCAGCCGCGGUAAUACGGAGGAUCCGAGCGUUAGCCGGAUUUAUUGGGUUUAAAGGGAGCGUAGGUGGGUUGUUAAGUCAGGUGUGAAAGUUUGUGGCUCAACCGUAAAAUUGCAAUUGAUACUGGCAGACUUGAGUACAGGAGAGGUAGGCGGAAUUCGUGGUGUAGCGGUGAAAUGCGUAGAUAUCACGAAGAACCCCGAUUGCGAAGGCAGCUAACUAAACUGUGACUGACAUUGAUGCUCGAAAGUGUGGGUAGCAAACAGGAUUAGAUACCCCAGUAGUC
RNAcentral lists this ribosomal RNA (460 nucleotides) under uncultured bacterium. Its description in RNAcentral is "partial 16S ribosomal RNA". It matches the Rfam family "Bacterial small subunit ribosomal RNA", at positions 338 to 795 of the family's 1533-position model. The record is from RNAcentral.